AUGAUGGGAAUAACUAAGCAUAAAUUUGGAAAUGAGCACGAAAUGUCUAUAAAUGAUUUUUCUCAUUAUUCUUUAUUUUCUGGUCUUUUCGUUGCAUUCACUUACAACAAGAAACAACCACCAGCGUUUGGUGCAGCACUUGCAUUUUGGUGCAUUCUUCUUCCUUUCCUUGGUCUUUCGUUCCGUCAUAUUCCAAAUAACUUAUCUAAUUACAACGUAUUAACCGCUAAUGCACCUUUUUUUUAUCAAAUCUUAGGGACAUGGUCUAAUCAUGAGGGUAGUAGUUUAUCAUGGUGUUGGAUCCCAAGUUUUUAUGGAUUCCUUUUUUGUUACCGGGGUCGACCCCAAAGCCAUAAUGUCUCAAAACGAAGAGGCUAUAGAGAAACUUUGAUUUUUUCCUUUGUCUCGAACUUUGUGAAGAACUCCAUGCUAUCUCUCCAACAAAAAAGUUGGGCUGCGCCCCAGUUGUACACUCCCUUCAUUCGGAGAACCCUUGUUGAUUCUGAACUUCGUUCGCAAAGUAAGCGUCCUUUUAACGGGCCAGCCCUUUUUAAUGCGCCGCUUGACCCUGUUUUGAAAAUGAGCUUUGCUCUUCUGGGCGCUGGGCACUCCCGUGGUUCGCGAGAAGGAAAAAGGACUAAUCUUUUGUUACAUCUGGCACGAGAUGAAAAAGAGAGAGCUUCGUCUAUCGAUGAAUAG
Molecule: ribosomal RNA, 699 nt
Filed under: Triticum aestivum (bread wheat)
Lineage: Eukaryota; Viridiplantae; Streptophyta; Magnoliopsida; Poales; Poaceae
Description: partial small subunit ribosomal RNA
Source: RNAcentral